AGUGAACGCUGGCGGUAGGCCUAACACAUGCAAGUCGAACGGCAGCACAGGAGAGCUUGCUCUCUGGGUGGCGAGUGGCGGACGGGUGAGGAAUACAUCGGAAUCUACUCUGUCGUGGGGGAUAACGUAGGGAAACUUACGCUAAUACCGCAUACGACCUACGGGUGAAAGCAGGGGACCUUCGGGCCUUGCGCGAUUGAAUGAGCCGAUGUCGGAUUAGCUAGUUGGCGGGGUAAAGGCCCACCAAGGCGACGAUCCGUAGCGGGUCUGAGAGGAGGAUCAGCCACAGUGGAACUGAGACACGGGCCAGACUCCUACGGGAGGCAGCGGUGGGGAAUAUUGGACAGUGGGCGCAAGCCUGAUCCAGCCAUACCGCGUGGGUGAAGAAGGCCUUCGGGUUGUAAAGCCCUUUUGUUGGGAAAGAAAUCCAGCUGGCUAAUACCCGGUUGGGAUGACGGUACCCAAAGAAUAAGCACCGGCUAACUUCGUGCCAGCCGCCGCUGUAA
RNAcentral lists this ribosomal RNA (506 nucleotides) under uncultured bacterium. RNAcentral describes it as "partial 16S ribosomal RNA". It matches the Rfam family "Bacterial small subunit ribosomal RNA", at positions 29 to 523 of the family's 1533-position model. The record is from RNAcentral.